GACGAACGCUGGCGGCGUGCCUAAUACAUGCAAGUAGAACGCUGAAGGAGGAGCUUGCUUCUCUGGAUGAGUUGCGAACGGGUGAGUAACGCGUAGGUAACCUGCCUGGUAGCGGGGGAUAACUAUUGGAAACGAUAGCUAAUACCGCAUAAUAGUAGAUGUUGCAUGACAUUUGCUUAAAAGGUGCAAUUGCAUCACUACCAGAUGGACCUGCGUUGUAUUAGCUAGUUGGUGGGGUAACGGCUCACCAAGGCGACGAUACAUAGCCGACCUGAGAGGGUGAUCGGCCACACUGGGACUGGGACACGGCCCAGACUCCUACGGGGGGCAGCAGGAGGGAAUCUUCGGCAAUGGACGGAAGUCUGAACGAGCAACGCCGCGUGAGUGAAGAAGGUUUUCGGAUCGUAAAGCUCUGUUGUAAGAGAAGAACGAGUGUGAGAGUGGAAAGUGCACACUGUGACGGUAUCUUACCAGAAAGGGACGGCUAACUACGUG
RNAcentral lists this ribosomal RNA (495 nucleotides) under uncultured bacterium. RNAcentral describes it as "partial 16S ribosomal RNA". It matches the Rfam family "Bacterial small subunit ribosomal RNA", at positions 28 to 507 of the family's 1533-position model. The record is from RNAcentral.